This 690-nucleotide long non-coding RNA is filed under the name Toxoplasma gondii VEG. Lineage: Eukaryota; Apicomplexa; Conoidasida; Eucoccidiorida; Sarcocystidae. The record is from RNAcentral.
CUCCAGGGUACGGAAAAGGAGAUACGCAGGGAACUAUGCGGCCGAGAAAAGUGACUUUCUAGUGUCUUUACAGGAGACACACAACGCCAGGACUUUUUGGACGACGCAUGCGUUUUUUCUGUGGACGGACGGAGAAAAGCCUCUCUCCGUCUCUACUUCAGAACGACCACCACUCAGAAGGCAGUUCAUGCGCAGCGAAUGUCCUCCAUUCCAGAGCAUGGAAGAACUACUUUGGCGGAUUUUCUUGGAACAGUGCGCACAGAUACUUUCGCAAAGAAGCAGCACAAGGAGGGAUAGUGUCCAUCUGUGUAAGCGAGCAUUUGACUCCUCGCGUUGGUGGCCAGAGGUGAAGGCCCCCCAAUUCUUUUCUUCUUGAGAGAGUCUGUCGCUUUUUCGGUGUCUCCACUUGUCGGCGCGACAGAUGGUAUGUUCCCCCAUCAGAGCAACGCCUUGCCUCUGUUUAGCACUGCUUGGUAUCGCACUCUGCAUAGCCUGCACAAGCGCCUUUCGUCCUUGACUCAGAUUCAGAGUUUCCAGCGUUUCUGAGAGCGAAUAGAGGCCGAGUCGGGAACUCGACUCUGGGGCAGACACACUCCCUCAAGCGUCGAGAGUCUGGAGAAUGGCAGGUUGCUCGCCAGCCUCAGGCUUUGUGGCUUUUUUUGCCUCUCGCAGCAGCCCGGAGGAACUGGC